This 19-nucleotide non-coding RNA is filed under the name Arabidopsis thaliana (thale cress). The record is from RNAcentral. Lineage: Eukaryota; Viridiplantae; Streptophyta; Magnoliopsida; Brassicales; Brassicaceae.
GGUGGUGCAUGGCCGUUCU